AACGAACGCUGGCGGCGUGCCUAACACAUGCAAGUCGAACGAGACCUUCGGGUCUAGUGGCGCACGGGUGCGUAACGCGUGGGAACCUGCCUUUAGGUUCGGAAUAACUCAGAGAAAUUUGAGCUAAUACCGGAUAAUGUCUUCGGACCAAAGAUUUAUCGCCUUUAGAUGGGCCCGCGUAAGAUUAGCUAGUUGGUGGGGUAAAGGCCUACCAAGGCGACGAUCUUUAGCUGGUCUGAGAGGAUGAUCAGCCACACUGGGACUGAGACACGGCCCAGACUCCUACGGGAGGCAGCAGUGGGGAAUAUUGGACAAUGGGCGAAAGCCUGAUCCAGCAAUGCCGCGUGAGUGAUGAAGGCCUUAGGGUUGUAAAGCUCUUUUACCCGAGAUGAUAAUGACAGUAUCGGGAGAAUAAGCUCCGGCUAACUCCGUGCCAGCAGCCGCGGU
RNAcentral lists this ribosomal RNA (447 nucleotides) under uncultured bacterium. RNAcentral describes it as "bacterial SSU rRNA". It matches the Rfam family "Bacterial small subunit ribosomal RNA", at positions 29 to 521 of the family's 1533-position model. The record is from RNAcentral.